Molecule: unclassified non-coding RNA, 263 nt
Filed under: plant metagenome
Description: partial contains small subunit ribosomal RNA, internal transcribed spacer 1, and 5.8S ribosomal RNA
Source: RNAcentral
UUUCCGUAGGUGAACCUGCGGAAGGAUCAUUAUUGAAUAACCGUGGUGUGAGGGCUGUCGCUGACCCGAAAGGUCGUGCACCCCCGACUGUCCUCACACACAUCCAUCUCACCCCUAUGUGGACCACCGCGUGGGUCCCCCCUUAGCUCGUACGGAGGGGGGCUUUCGUUUUCACACAAACUUUGUAUGCAGUAUAGAAUGUAUUGUUUGUUUUUGCGAUCACGCAAUCAAUACAACUUUCAACAACGGAUCUCUUGGCUCUC